ACGGAUCCAGCAGUGGUCACAGUUUGGGGUACAGCAGUUCUGAGUCUGGUUCAAGAUUCUCCCUUGCACCUUGCGCACAGUGUGAAAGAGGACAUUCGGGACCUUGUAUAAUGGGUUCAUGACUAUGUUUCAGGUGUGGUCAACAAGGUCACUUUGCUAGAGAAUGCCCCGUGUUCAGCGAGCCAUAGAUGGGGUCACAGGGUUCUGUUGAAAAUGUUCCUCGUCAGUUUUAUCUUGGUGCUUCCAGCAUGGCAGGCAGU
RNAcentral lists this unclassified non-coding RNA (260 nucleotides) under Hevea brasiliensis (rubber tree). Lineage: Eukaryota; Viridiplantae; Streptophyta; Magnoliopsida; Malpighiales; Euphorbiaceae. The record is from RNAcentral.